CUUGAGCCUGUUGUGUCACCUGUUAAGAAAUCAGUAUGGCUUGUCAAGUCAAUUGACAAAACCAUACAAUAAAACACCAUACUGCAUGAAUGCUCCUAAUAAUAAGUAUAUAUAAAAUGGGAUUUUUUUAUUGAGCUGUAGAGGAAAUAAAUUGUGCGAUUAUGAGACUGUGGAUAGAUAAGAGCAAGAGGGAGACACGAGGACAGCAGGCAAACAGCUCAAGCGUUUGGCUAACCUGUCACUGACGACUACCUGACCAACGCCCGACGCUACUUCACGAGUGGAGCUUCGUAGCCAAGCCAUUUUUCUGGAGAACACUUCAAAAUGAGAAGAUCCUGCCAUGGAAAAGACGACUGGGCGGACAUAAAGUGGAAAUGAGGGGAAAUAACUCACACCAUGCAGCAGGACACCUUCAGCUGCGGGGUCUUUGUAAUGCAGAUGGCCAAGGAAGUUGCACAGAACUUCCCCAACAUCCCCUCCCAAAUUCAUAUGGAACCUUCAAAAACAUAUGGAGCAACUGCGAAAAGAAAUGGCUGAGAAUAUUUAAAAAAUGUCUGAGUUCAACAAAGCCAACAACUGCUUCAUGUGUGCCACUGAUAAACAACCUGGAUGUGGCCCAAAGACUGACUGGAUUGAAUGUUUUGCAUGCCAACGGUGGUUCCAUGUGCUCUAACUAGGAAUGAAGACAAAAGAGUUCAACAGAGUAAAGAACACAAACUGGAAGUGCAGUCUUUGUUGUUGAAAAUGUAUGCUAUACCCCAUCCACACUGAAGAGGCUCUGAAAUGUACAUCAACCAGGGAUAAAGAGAAAGUUAACACUGAAAUGUUUCAUACUUAUUUGAAGUUAAGUGUCUGUUGACAUGUUGGAAAAGAUUAACGGUCUACAAUUUCUGUUUAAUUUGUCAAUAUUCAAUUUUUAUUCAUU
This 925-nucleotide long non-coding RNA is filed under the name Salmo salar (Atlantic salmon). Its description in RNAcentral is "lncRNA (ENSSSAG00000115466.1)". The record is from RNAcentral. Lineage: Eukaryota; Metazoa; Chordata; Actinopteri; Salmoniformes; Salmonidae.